Molecule: non-coding RNA, 65 nt
Organism: Dipodomys ordii (Ord's kangaroo rat)
Lineage: Eukaryota; Metazoa; Chordata; Mammalia; Rodentia; Heteromyidae
Source: Rfam
GGUGGCUCAGUGGUAGAGUGCUUGCCCUGCAUGCAUGAGACCCUGGGUUCGAUUCCUCAGCACCA